Molecule: ribosomal RNA, 367 nt
Filed under: uncultured bacterium
Lineage: Bacteria
Description: partial 16S ribosomal RNA
Rfam family: Bacterial small subunit ribosomal RNA
Source: RNAcentral
AUGCGUAGGGGGCGAGCGUUGUCCGGAAUGAUUGAGCGUAAAGGGCGCGUAGGCGGCGCGGUAAGUCUGGAGUGAAAGUCCUGCUUUCAAGGUGGGAAUUGCUUUGGAUACUGCCGCGCUUGAGUGCAGGAGAGGUUAUCGGAAUUCCCGGUGUAGCGGUGAAAUGCGUAGAGAUCGGGAGGAACACCAGUGGCGAAGGCGGGUAACUGGACUGCAACUGACGCUGAGGCGCGAAAGUGUGGGGAGCAAACAGGAUUAGAUACCCUGGUAGUCCACACUGUAAACGAUGAAUGCUAGGUGUAAGAGGUAUCGACCCCUUUUGUGCCGGAGUCAACACAAUAAGCAUUCCGCCUGGGGAGUACGGCCG